CGCACGAAAGGCGUAACGAUCUGGGCGCUGUCUCAACAAGAGACUCGGUGAAAUCAUAGUACCUGUGAAGAUGCAGGGUACCCGCGACAGGACGGAAAGACCCCGUGGAGCUUUACUGUAGCUUGAUAUUGAGCACUGGUGACACAUGUACAGGAUAGGUAGGAGACGAAGAGACCAGGACGCCAGUCGUGGAGGAGUCGCUGUUGGGAUACUACCCUUGUGUUACUGGGGUUCUAACCCGUGGCCAUGAGCUGGUCAGGGGACAGUGUCAGGUGGGCAGUUUGACUGGGGCGGUCGCCUCCCAAAGAGGAACGGAGGCGCCCAAAGGUUCCCUCAGAAUGGUUGGAAAUCAUUCGAAGAGUGUAAAGGCAGAAGGGAGCUUGACUGCGAGACCUACAAGUCGAGCAGGGACGAAAGUCGGGCUUAGUGAGCCGGCGGUACCGAAUGGAAGGGCCGUCGCUCAACGGAUAAAAGCUACCCCGGGGAUAACAGGCUGAUCUCCCCCAAG
This 508-nucleotide ribosomal RNA is filed under the name Turicibacter sp. TS3. Its description in RNAcentral is "partial 23S ribosomal RNA". It matches the Rfam family "Bacterial large subunit ribosomal RNA", at positions 1989 to 2496 of the family's 2925-position model. The record is from RNAcentral. Lineage: Bacteria; Bacillati; Bacillota; Erysipelotrichia; Erysipelotrichales; Turicibacteraceae.